GCAUCAGUAGUGUAAUGGUUGACGUGUGGUCUUCCCAAGUACAUGUCGGUUACGUUUGGGGUUCGAACCCCAAUUGGUGCA
Molecule: transfer RNA, 81 nt
Filed under: Armillaria novae-zelandiae
Lineage: Eukaryota; Fungi; Basidiomycota; Agaricomycetes; Agaricales; Physalacriaceae
Description: tRNA-Gly
Source: RNAcentral